Molecule: transfer RNA, 72 nt
Filed under: bacterium
Lineage: Bacteria
Also listed under: 2 other names
Description: tRNA-Arg
Rfam family: tRNA
About the family: Transfer RNA (tRNA) molecules are approximately 80 nucleotides in length. Their secondary structure includes four short double-helical elements and three loops (D, anti-codon, and T loops). Further hydrogen bonds mediate the characteristic L-shaped molecular structure. tRNAs have two regions of fundamental functional importance: the anti-codon, which is responsible for specific mRNA codon recognition, and the 3' end, to which the tRNAs corresponding amino acid is attached (by aminoacyl-tRNA synthetases). tRNAs cope with the degeneracy of the genetic code in two manners: having more than one tRNA (with a specific anti-codon) for a particular amino acid; and 'wobble' base-pairing, i.e. permitting non-standard base-pairing at the 3rd anti-codon position.
Source: RNAcentral
GCUCCCGUGGUGAAAUGGAUAUCACAACGGUCUUCGGAACCGUCGUUGGGGGUUCGAAUCCCUCCGGGAGCA